This 253-nucleotide ribosomal RNA is filed under the name uncultured bacterium. Its description in RNAcentral is "partial 16S ribosomal RNA". It matches the Rfam family "Bacterial small subunit ribosomal RNA", at positions 524 to 776 of the family's 1533-position model. The record is from RNAcentral.
UACGGGGGGGGCAAGCGUUGUUCGGAAUUACUGGGCGUAAAGGGCUCGUAGGCGGCCAACUAAGUCAGACGUGAAAUCCCUCGGCUUAACCGGGGAACUGCGUCUGAUACUGGAUGGCUUGAGUUUGGGAGAGGGAUGCGGAAUUCCUGGUGUAGCGGUGAAAUGCGCAGAUAUCAGGAGGAACACCGGUGGCGAAGGCGGGUCUCUGGGCCGAUACUGACGCUGAGGAGCGAAGGCGUGGGGAGCGAACAGG